RNAcentral lists this ribosomal RNA (253 nucleotides) under uncultured bacterium. RNAcentral describes it as "partial 16S ribosomal RNA". It matches the Rfam family "Bacterial small subunit ribosomal RNA", at positions 524 to 776 of the family's 1533-position model. The record is from RNAcentral.
UACGGGGGGGGCAAGCGUUGUUCGGAAUUACUGGGCGUAAAGGGCUCGUAGGCGGCCAACUAAGUCAUACGUGAAAUCCCUCGGCUUAACUGGGGAACUGCGUGUGAUACUGGAUGGCUUGGAUUUGGGAGAGGGAUGCGGAAUUCCAGGUGUAGCGGUGAAAUGCGUAGAUAUCUGGAGGAACACCGGUGGCGAAGGCGGCAUCCUGGACCAAUAUUGACGCUGAGGAGCGAAAGCCAGGGGAACAAACGGG